RNAcentral lists this long non-coding RNA (3310 nucleotides) under Sus scrofa (pig). RNAcentral describes it as "lncRNA (ENSSSCG00015046487.1)". The record is from RNAcentral. Lineage: Eukaryota; Metazoa; Chordata; Mammalia; Artiodactyla; Suidae.
AGAUUUGGAGUACGAGAAAAUGAGCGGGAUUUUCAAAGAUGAUAGUUGUAUCUUUGAACAUGUAGAGUUGGAAGUAUGUUGGACUUGAGUUAUUUGUUUGACCUGUGUGAAUAUGGAGUUCCACAGGUAGAUCUGACACUUGGGGGGAGCCCAUCUAUCGGUGGACUUUGAAGACGUGAGGGGGACACAGCACAGAAGGUGAAGAGAAGGGCUAAUGUCAUAGCUUGUCGUAAACACCACUCGAAUUCCCACCUCUUCCCCAGCUGCUUCUCCACAUGUCAACAUUGAAACCAUAGCAUAUUACUUAACCUCUUCUUAAGGUGCUGUGUAAUCUUUAAUACACAUUGAUCAAUGUCUGAAUCCCCCCCUCGCAUCAACUGAGUUCUCUUUUUUAUUUAUUUAUUAUUUAUUUUUUUAAUCUUUUAUCUUUUUAGGGCCACACACUUGCGUUUCUGUGGCUGUGGUGUAGGCUGGCAGCUGCAGCUCCAAUUCGAUCCCUAGCCUGAGAACCUCCAUAUGCCACAGGUGGGCUGCCAUAAAAAGGAAAAAAAAGAAAAAACUAAACAAAGAAAGUGCCUCUGACUUCUUGAUUACACUGUGUGGCCUCACCAGAGGAAAUAAACAGCAAACUUAAAUAACCUGUAAUCUGCCUCCAUAUUGCUGGUCUUAUUUUCAUCUCAUAAUAAAAUACAGAGGCAUGAUUGCUUUAUACUUUACCACUAGAUGGCUGAAUUACAUUGGGUUUAGAAAAAGAGUAAAGUCUUCCUUGAAGUAGCCUGAUAUGUAACAUUAACAAAAAUGUAUCUAGUAUAUAAAUAUAUAUAUGCACUUAUACAUAUGUACACAUACACACACACACAUAAAUAAUUUAAUCUUGAAUAGUUGAGCUAACUAGAAUUGAGUUGUUUCUUAAAAACUUGUAAAAAGCCUUCUUUGUAUGAUUUUAGCUUUAAUUUAUGAAAUAGGUUACAUUUUGAUAAGACAUAUAAAAGGCCAGUGUAUUUUAAAAUCAUAUUCUUGCACAGAAUAUCCACAAACAUUGGCUCUCAAAGUUUCACAGAUACCUUGAGGGUGAAUUUAACUCUGUUGGAGAAAUAACACCUGUACUAUCAGAUGAAUACAUUCACUUUAUAUUUAAACACAGUGUUUUGUAGCAUCUAUGUUCAACUACAGUUCAAAAUAAAACAAAAAGAUAGUACUCCAUGUCUUCAUUUAAAUGUUAAGCUGUAAAACACUUUUUUUUUUUUUUCCAGAAAUAUAUUAACUCUGAACCACAUGAAAUUGCCAUAUUUGUAUGUCAGAACAGUAAACUGUAAGCAGUUUAAUGUAGCUUAACCUAAUAAUUUCUUAUUAUUUUAGCAAUUUUUAUUUCUUACAUUUCAUUCAGUGACCUGAACAGUUCCUAUCAUUUGAGGGUUAGCCUUGGUCAGCUAAAGGCUUGACCUUGGCACGUUACUUUCUUCACCUUCUCUCUGGGAUUUUGUGGAUGAUAACAUGCUCAGAAGUGCAGUUUGGCAAAGUAACCUUCCAGGGUGACAGUAGUUCUUACUCAAAGCCAAAAAGAUUGUCCGAGGACCGUUUUAGUGUAAAGUUAGAUGUACUACACUCAGGAAGUGCAGGCUGCAUCUUUGAAAUUAGGAUGUACAAUCUGUGUCUAACAGAAUAUUUCUGAGUUUAAUUUGAUAAUGUGCUAGUUCAAGUGAAUGAGCAAAAACAUGUUAAAAUGUGGGUCUCAAAUCAACAUUGAUUUGCAAUGUAUUUUCUUCUGUGGAGUAGCAUUAAUAUAAUACUCUAAUGAUUUUAUUUUUGGUACCCAGUGGUAGUGUUAACGUUUAAAAAUCUAGGAAGUUUUAAAAUAAUGGAUGAAUACAUUUACCAUUUUAACAAAACAGCAAACUGUCUGAAGGGCUGUUUUUGGCUAACUAAAGUGACUGUCACUGAGGCCUUGAAUCUCUUUCCACACCUGUAUCCUAACACCGUCCAUAGUAAGCCUGUUCCCUCUCAGGACAGGCACGCUUCUGACUUGUUUUCUUCCCGGAACUCUGACAACAGAGUCACCCAAACACGUACUCCUUGCUACAGGUGAACUGACCAGUGUUUUGGAAUUUUUAUGUCAACCUUAUUGUAAGUCUUCCAGCAAAAAUGUUGAUUAAAAAAAUACACAGAACUUUGUAUUUGCUUUUUUAAAAAAUGCUAGGACACUGAGGUAGUGUUAUAACCAUUUGAAAGUACCCUGUUCAUGAUGUUUUACUUGGUAAACUUGCAGGUUAAUUUAAUUAUGAAAGGGAGCCAUCCUCCCUGAGAAGUAUUUGGAUGUUUUUGAUGACGGAAUUAAAUAAUUCCUUAUUUGUUCUGUUCUAGUUCACCCAUCAAACUGAAAAAGCAAUGUUUGAAUGUUUAUGCCUCAGGGUUAAUAAUUAAGAGAUACCUCUUAGCAAAGGCAUUUUAUUACAUUUCUGACUGACCUAUAAUGUCCUGUUACAUGAGGAAAAGUAAUGAAUUGUUUUGAGAAUAAAAAUAUAAUAUUUGUUAAUGAGAUAAAAAUAGAAAAUAUCAUUCAGGAUUUUUUUUUUAAAACUGAGAGUCAUAUUGCUUUUUAUCUGUUUUAUAGUUACUCCCUGUGCAGAUCUGAAAUGAGGCUGUUAUGAUAGAAUAGAGCCUCAUGUGGAUAGGGAGUAUAUAGAUAUUAUAUGGGGCCAGCUGAAUGCAGUAUGGCAUUGAAAUAUUAUUCUGUUUGGAUUAGUUAAGGAUACAGAUAUUUAACAUACAAACGAUUAGUGUUAUAGGAAACAUACAGUCAUGAUGGUUAUAUAUUAUGUAGUUUCCUCACUUCUCUAAACGACUCUGUGCAGACUGGGACCAUCUGAGAAAGAUCACAAUUUUUCUUAAUGAUGGAUUCAUUUAGCUCUUUAUAGUAGUAGUUUCCACUUUACAGUUCUUGUCACUUAGCAGCACAGACAUCUCUUCUGGAAAUGAGUGCCACUUGCUAGGUCACCUAAAAGACUAUUGUAAAUCAACCUUCACCCAAGAUCAUAUUUGGGUAAUAAUUAAUCUAAUACAUUAAAUCAAGCUUAAGAAGUUUGAAUAUGUCCUUUACAAAGCUUAAGUAAACAAUUUAAAAUGAUUUCAAAUCAAUCAAAAAUUACAGGAGUUCCUGUCAUGGCUCAGUGGUAAUGAACCCAACUUAUAUCCAUAAAGAUGCAGGUUCGCUCCCUGGCCUCAUUCACUGGGGUAAGGAUCUGGUGUUGCCGUAGCUGUGGUAUAAGUUGCAGACACAGCUCAGAUCCCACAUUGCUAUGGCUGUGGUGUA